RNAcentral lists this ribosomal RNA (445 nucleotides) under uncultured soil bacterium. RNAcentral describes it as "bacterial SSU rRNA". It matches the Rfam family "Bacterial small subunit ribosomal RNA", at positions 26 to 518 of the family's 1533-position model. The record is from RNAcentral.
AGAACGAACGCUGGCGGCAUGCCUAACACAUGCAAGUCGAACGAGACCUUCGGGUCUAGUGGCGCACGGGUGCGUAACGCGUGGGAAUCUGCCCUUGGGUUCGGGAUAACAGUUGGAAACGACUGCUAAUACCGGAUGAUGACUUCGGUCCAAAGAUUUAUCGCCCAGGGAUGAGCCCGCGUCGGAUUAGCUAGUUGGUGAGGUAAAGGCUCACCAAGGCGACGAUCCGUAGCUGGUCUGAGAGGAUGAUCAGCCACACUGGGACUGAGACACGGCCCAGACUCCUACGGGAGGCAGCAGUGGGGAAUAUUGGACAAUGGGCGAAAGCCUGAUCCAGCAAUGCCGCGUGAGUGAUGAAGGCCUUAGGUUGUAAAGCUCUUUUACCCGGGAUGAUAAUGACAGUACCGGAGAAUAAGCCCCGGCUAACUCCGCGCCAGCAGCCGAC